Salvia miltiorrhiza (redroot sage) is the source of this 1794-nucleotide long non-coding RNA. RefSeq lists it as uncharacterized. The transcript has 2 exons. NCBI's taxonomy places the organism in Eukaryota, Viridiplantae, Streptophyta, Magnoliopsida, Lamiales, Lamiaceae. The record is from RefSeq and is a predicted model, not a curated record.
UUAUAAUAUACAUGACAUGUGGCAAUAUAGAUCCACAUCAGCUAUUUUAUUUAUUUUAUUCUCAAUUUUAAAACACCACUCACGCCUCUCUUCCUCAUCCCAUCAAAGCCGUCCCUGAAGCUCCAACGAAAAUGCUACCGGCGAGCCACGACCACGGCCAUGGAUUCUCUCUCGAUCCCCAUCUCCAUCUCUCAGCCCCUAAUGUCCCUCCUCUCUCCCAAACAAACUUAGAUCCCCAAAUCAUCACCGCCUCUUCGCGAUUUCUGGCAACCACAGCAGCCAUGGCCGCCACCGCUUCGACUCCCUCUAUCUCCUGCCGUCGGCAAGCCACGGCCACGUCUUCUGUCUCGACCCCCAUCUCCAUCUUCUCCGUUCUCGACCGACCAGCAGGGACAGAACCACCGCCGCCAUUUGCCACCUUCAUUCCCCCUCCCACCCUCCCGGCGGAUCUGCCCCUCCCACCACCAGAAAACCAGAAAUCGAUCUGCCACCUCCCUUCCCCCACAUGCACCUCGAUCCCUUUCGGGAUCUGAUCUAAGACUUUUCCGGAACAAGCGAGUCUAGCUGGUUGAUCUGAAAUAAAGUGACACUCAAUUUGCUGUUUGAUUGAGGUAUUUUUUUUCUUUUGGAAUUCAGAUAUAUUAAUUUUUUAAGUUGAUUCGAUUUAAUUUUGAUGCGUAUCUAUGCAUUUAGUAUCCUGCUCCGAUUUGUGUUUAUUUCUGUUUUGGUGGGAUUGUUUUAUUGGUGGAUGCGUAUCUAUGUAUUUACCUCUUCAGAGAUAUAUUGUUUAUGUUAUUCGUUCCAACCUCUUGUAUGAGUGGCAAAUGAAUUUUUACUCAUCUCAUUUGUAGGUUGUGAUUUAUGUUAUUCAUGUUCCAACCUCUGGCAAAUGAAUUUUACUCAUCUCAUUUGUAGGUUGUGACUCCUAUAUUACAUACAUCAAUCAACAGGUAUGUGAUAAACGAUUCUUUAAAUAUUAUAUACUAUGUUAUUUUUUGCAUUUAGUAAUUGAAUUAGAUCUGUGCUUCCCUGAUAUUAGCUCUGGUUUUCUGCCAUUUUGUAUAAAUAUUAUUUUCCUGCAUUUUUGUAUCAACUAGUUAAUUAUUCGAUGUUGAUUAUUUUUGGUGCUUUUUCUUGAGAUUAUUGUUGUGCAAUUAGAUCUGUGCUUUAUUUUUCGGUGGGGCUAUGUAUGUGGAGGUGUUGAACGAAGGGGUGCGCCCGCUUGCUUUCACCAUUAGGAAGAAAAACAAAGCUCGAGAGACCAACACUUACUUGGACACAGUAUCUAGAUUCUCUUCAUCCGCUCAUCCACUUUCAAGAUAGGGAAGAGGAAGUAUUAGUGACCUUUCAUAAAGUAUGGUAAAUGGUUUGUUUUAGGGCCCUAAUCCCUAAACCCACCAGUUUGAUUUGAUUUUGGCUGGAUGGAGAAUGAGAUGUUAGAGUUUGUUUUUGUUGAAUGCAGAAAUUAUGGGGUUUACACAUUGUUGAAUCUCAAGAUGAAUGUGCAAUGGAAUCACAAUUUUGCUAUACUGAUUCAUCUUAUACAGUGGCAUUAGUAUACUAACUGGGGAGAGGGAGGGAACCAUCGUUAUCAAUAUUAGCAAUUUACCUAGAUUUCAUCAAUCCAUGAUAAUUGUGAUGUAUAGUUGUGUAAUGCAUGAUUUGUAAUUUUAGUUUUGAUUACAAUUAUGUAGUUGCAUAUUGUAAUAGAAUUGAACUCAAAUGCCUAAAUAUGUUAUUUAGAUCGCCAUCAUUAUUAUAUUUAUCUGCAAUUCUAGAGAAUUUUUCUUUUUA